GAUGAACGCUAGCUACAGGCUUAACACAUGCAAGUCGAGGGGAAACGACAUCGAAAGCUUGCUUUUGAUGGGCGUCGACCGGCGCACGGGUGAGUAACGCGUAUCCAACCUGCCCACCACUUGGGGAUAACCUUGCGAAAGUAAGACUAAUACCCAAUGAUAUCCCACGAAGACAUCUGAAUGGGAUUAAAGAUUUAUCGGUGAUGGAUGGGGAUGCGUCUGAUUAGCUUGUUGGCGGGGUAACGGCCCACCAAGGCAACGAUCAGUAGGGGUUCUGAGAGGAAGGUCCCCCACAUUGGAACUGAGACACGGUCCAAACUCCUACGGGAGGCAGCAGUGAGGAAUAUUGGUCAAUGGGCGAGAGCCUGAACCAGCCAAGUAGCGUGCAGGAAGACGGCGCUAUGGGUUGUAAACUGCUUUUAUAAGGGAAUAAAGUGGGUCACGUGUGACUUUUUGCAUGUACCUUAUGAAUAAGGACCGGCUAAUUCCGUG
RNAcentral lists this ribosomal RNA (492 nucleotides) under uncultured bacterium. RNAcentral's name for it is "partial 16S ribosomal RNA". It matches the Rfam family "Bacterial small subunit ribosomal RNA", at positions 28 to 507 of the family's 1533-position model. The record is from RNAcentral.